CCUACGGGAGGCAGCAGUGGGGAAUAUUGGGCGAUGGGCGCAAGCCUGACCCAGCAAUGCCGCGUGGGAGAAGAAGGUCUUCGGAUUGUAAAGCCCUUUCGGCGGGGACGAUGGUGACGGUACCCGCAGAAGAAGCCCCGGCCAACUUCGUGCCAGCAGCCGCGGUAAUACGAAGGGGGCUAGCGUUGCUCGGAAUUACUGGGCGUAAAGGGCGCGUAGGCGGCCUUGCAAGUCAGGCGUGAAAUCCCCGGGCUCAACCCGGGGGCUGCGCUUGAGACUGCGGGGCUUGAGGACGGGAGAGGCUCGCGGAAUUCCCAGUGUAGAGGUGAAAUUCGUAGAUAUUGGGAAGAACACCGGUGGCGAAGGCGGCGAGCUGGCCCGUUUCUGACGCUGAGGCGCGACAGCGUGGGGAGCAAACAGGAUUAGAUACCCUGGUAGUCCACGCCGUAAACGAUGUGCGCCGGGUGUUGGGGGGCCUAGCCCCUCAGUGCCGCAGCCAACGCGGUAAGCGCACCGCCUGGGGAGUACGGCCGCAAGGUUGAAACUCAAAGGAAUUGACGGGGGGCCCGCCAAGCGGUGGAGCAUGUGGGUU
Molecule: ribosomal RNA, 592 nt
Filed under: uncultured bacterium
Lineage: Bacteria
Description: bacterial SSU rRNA
Rfam family: Bacterial small subunit ribosomal RNA
Source: RNAcentral